AAAAAACCACGAUGUUUGAGGGCCAUCAGGCCGGAAGAAAUUAAGACUUGUUGAUAUCUUGCGCUUUGACAUAGAUUUUUGGCGGUUUUUUGUGUUAUAGAGGUGAUAGAGCAGGAUGCCAAGAGGAGAAAGGUGGCUUAUCUGGCAAGCCUUGUAGAAAGAGGACACCAUAGUUGUCAGGAAGCCCUAGAAGUGUCAGAGGAAACCUUUGGAGGCACAGCACGUGGAGGAGCUAUUCAUCAAUCUCAACAGUCAACAGCUGCAGAUAUGUCUACUUUGGUAGACAAAUACAAGACUCUUGAGAGAGUCAAGAGAAAGCAAGCUGUUGGCUCGAAAAAGAGAUCUUUGCCCUCUGCAGUGCAGAUAACUGUUGGUGCACUCGUCUAUUUCAGUAAACUGAGGAGGACAGUCAACAGCAGAAGCCUUCCAACAGGUGUUUGUCUGUCAGUUGCAAAGACGUCCACAGCCGAGCAACUGCUACAACAUUGCCAGAAAGCAUUGUUUCCGUCACAAAAGGAAAGUUCUAUCUUGGGAAUAGCAAGGGCGACAGGAUAGACGGAAAAGUAGGAGGUGUCCCUUGGACCAUUGAAUCCUAUUUUCGAAUGCGUGGUCUUGCACCUUCGAGGUGCAGAUUUUAUAUUGUCAAGGUCUACGAAGAUGAAGAAAUCAGUUCUGUGGUGAGAGUGGAAACAGAGAAAAACAAGACAUCGUUGAGGUUGUCAUCAUCAUCACCAUCAUCACCAUCGCCAUCACCAAUGCCAGCAGCAGCAGCAGCAGCAAGCAGCAAAGACUAGCAGAAGUACAUUGACUUAAUUAAUUAAUUAAUGACUGUAGAUACAUACUGAGUUAAAGGUACAUUUCUGUCACAUGCGCUAAUAAACUGCGCCCCGCUUACACCUUUGAUUGUUGGUUACCAACAAUCAAAUUGAGACAUUUGACGCAUUUCCAGAACAAAGUAUGCUUACGUAUGCUUUUAACUGACUAAAUGAUAAAUUCU
Molecule: long non-coding RNA, 997 nt
Organism: Corticium candelabrum
Lineage: Eukaryota; Metazoa; Porifera; Homoscleromorpha; Homosclerophorida; Plakinidae
Exons: 6
Source: RefSeq, a predicted model, not a curated record